Molecule: ribosomal RNA, 497 nt
Filed under: uncultured bacterium
Lineage: Bacteria
Description: partial 16S ribosomal RNA
Rfam family: Bacterial small subunit ribosomal RNA
Source: RNAcentral
GAUGAACGCUGGCGGCGUGCCUAAUACAUGCAAGUCGAGCGAACAGACGAGGAGCUUGCCCCUCUGACUUUAGCGGCGGACGGGUGAGUAACACGUGGAUAACCUACCUAUAAGACUGGGAUAACUUCGGGAAACCGGAGCUAAUACCGGAUAAUAUAUUGAACCGCAUGGUUCAAUAGUGAAAAACGGUUUUGCUGUCACUUAUAGAUGGAUCCGCGCCGCAUUAGCUAGUUGGUAAGUUAACGGCUUACCAAGGCGACGAUGCGUAGCCGACCUGAGAGGGUGAUCGGCCACACUGGAACUGAGACACGGUCCAGACUCCUACGGGAGGCAGCAGUAGGGAAUCUUCCGCAAUGGGCGAAAGCCUGACGGAGCAACGCCGCGUGAGUGAUGAAGGUCUUCGGAUCGUAAAACUCUGUUAUUAGGGAAGAACAAAUGUGUAAGUAACUAUGCACGUCUUGACGGUACCUAAUCAGAAAGCCACGGCUAACUACGUG